Canis lupus familiaris (dog) is the source of this 2648-nucleotide long non-coding RNA. RefSeq lists it as uncharacterized. Lineage: Eukaryota; Metazoa; Chordata; Mammalia; Carnivora; Canidae. The transcript is spliced from 7 exons. The record is from RefSeq and is a predicted model, not a curated record.
UGGCUGGAGGGGGCGGGGCGGGGCGCUGUGGUCGCCGCGCGGGUCCCUCGCCCUCGAGCCCACGCACCGGGGCUGGAGCCUGUCCUCCAAACGCCCCAGGUGGUCUUGAGGCGCCAGAGAAUCGUUGAGGGGCUGAGCCGGAGAAAAGGCCAAACGGGAAGGCGGGCUAAGAAUCUGCGCUCCCCUUGGAGGCCUUGCGGCGCUGCGGAGAAUGGACCCCGAGGGGAGAAAGGUUAAACAGAAACAACACCAGCACUGAGACUUGGGGAGGCUGAGUGACUGUCCAUGGCUACGCAUCUAAAAUCCAUGGCCAUCAUGGAUCCCAGUGUCACUCACAGUCUUCCCCCGGGGAAACAUCUUUGGGAGAUAAGUCCAAAGAGUUAAAGAUGACCUGAUUGCUGCUGUCUGGCUCCCCAGCUGGUUCAAUUUCUCCCUCCACCAGAUCCUUGUUUUAUCCACAUCUUAGCUUCCCCCACUCGGAUCACUCCUGGAUCACUCCUCUCUUCGGAUUGCUCUUCUGAAGAAGAAGCCGACUCAGAUUGCCUCCCCCAGAGGCAGCGCCCCAAUAAUGUGUCCUUGUUAGGAGAAAUGGGAAAAGCCCUUUACUACACUAUUGUCUUUGGAAUUUCAAGAUGACAGUGAUAAUGGUGGAGUUUCCUGCAGCUAAGUGUUUAGUAACAACUGGAGAAACUAAGGAGUAAGUGAAAUGAGACAAGAGCCUCACGAACCACUCUCUUCCAAUACCCAUUAGAGUUUCACAAUGUGCCAAGGCUAGAGCUAAUGUGAAUCACCCAGAUGACUGCUCCAGAAGCCACCUUACAAGGAAGACAUCCAGAACCUGAAACCUUGUCAGAGACAAACCAUGUGACCAGGUGGUACCAGGAAUAAGAAAAACAAAGAGAGGACCUGGGACUCCUCUGGCCUUUCACCAGGAGAGCCCUCACCGUCCUUAUGAGGUGCACAUGGCUGGGAGCCUCACAGAGCAGGCCUGCAGACCUCAGGAACGAUGAUGGAUAAUGUCUCAAGGGCACCACGUGGAGGGGGACACCAGCCAAGUGCCAGCUCCUUCUCCUGUGCUUGCUAAGCCCCAUGCACUACCCUGAGUGUGGAGGUGCUGACCGUUCCUUCCUGAUGUGUUACCUUCACCACAGAGUAGAAUGGAGGAUAGAAAUAAGUUCCAUUUUAGUUCUUGGAUAUUUUCGUUCGAGGCUUGACAUUUAAAAAGCUGUUACUGACCAUGUUGCUUCCCUCAUCAAAGGGACUCAGUGACUCCUUAUUGCCUUCAAACUCGAAUCCAUAUGUUAUUCUGUCAUCGGGGCUCUCUACAGUCUAAUCGGCCCUGCCCGUUUGGCUGGUCUGACAGAUUGCUUGUCUCUUCCUCCAGCCCUGCCUGGCUCCUGACUCCUGCUGGGUCUAUCCCUCACUCACUGGGGCCGUCACUGGGUGUCCCACAACUGCCUCACCCAUUACCUCCAUACCCACCUCCCUUACUUCCUAUAGCUCCUCCCCCAUGGAUGACCCCACAAGAAACACAGUUGUAGUAGUAGAAGCCUGGGGUGUCAUCCUAGCCUCUCCCCACUUUUCUUCCCAUGUCUAGUCUAAUCACUCAGUGCCCAGGAAAGCCUACUUCUUAAAUAAUUUUGAACUCUGUCUCUUUCUCUGCAUGUCUACCCUGCUGCUUUCGCUCUGGUCUUACUAUCUUUUAUUCUGACCACAGCUCUGCCUCUUCCCUUCCCAUCCUGUCCACACUGCAGCCAGAGAGGUAGCAGCAUAUUGGGGUAAGACAGAAAAGCCUCCUCUGUUCCUUACUCCUUGGGUGAACUUGACCAACUUUGUAUAUCUCUCUGGAGAUGAUAAAGGUUAUUGUGAGGCUGAGGUUUAUAAACCCCAGUUGGCCCCACCCAAAUAGUACAAGACACUGUUAUCAUUAUCUCUCCAAAAUGUAAAUGUGGUAGGUGAUUUCCCCUGAAAACUUUUACUAAUUGCCCUGUCCUCUGAAUAAAACCUAAAUUCCAUAGCACGUCCUCUAAGUGCCCUUAUGAUAUGAUCUCUACCAAUCUACCUGAUUUCCCAUGACUCUUCAUCUACCCUUAUACACUGGCUUCUGCAAUGUGCUUCCUUUUUUUUUUUUUUUUUAAGAUUUUAUUUAUUUAUUCAUAAGACACACACACACAGAGAGAGAAAGAGGUAGAGAGAGAGAGGGAGGGAGAGACACAGGCAGAGGGAGAAGCAGGCUCCAUGCAGGGAGACUGACAUGGGGACUCAAUCCUGGGUCUCCAGGAUCAUGCCCUGGGCUGACGGUGGCACUAAACCACUGAGCCACCCGGGUUGCCCUGCAAUGUGCUUCCUAAGGAGGCUUUCCAUUUCCUGUCCCUUGUGCCUGUAGUGUCCUGGCUCCCUUGUCACCCACUGAGACCUCACCUCAUCACAGCCUUCUGCCUGCUACUUUAUUCAUACCUCUAUUGUUACACUUCUCAUACAGUCAUAUACUUUUUAAAAAAUGCUGUCUGCCUCCCCCAUUAGACUACACAUUGAGAGGGAAGGAACAAUUUCUUUUUCCUCUUUAAGGCACAUAAUGGAUAUUUCCGAAAAUAAAGUCUGUUCAAUGAAUCGAUGAAUCAACAAAAUAUAAACCAUGUUCAUCUCCA